Long non-coding RNA from Dama dama (fallow deer), 899 nucleotides. RefSeq lists it as uncharacterized. The record is from RefSeq and is a predicted model, not a curated record. The transcript has 4 exons. NCBI's taxonomy places the organism in Eukaryota, Metazoa, Chordata, Mammalia, Artiodactyla, Cervidae.
CAGAGGCCCGGGUGGCUGGGGGUCCCAGCUCUCCAGGAGGGCGGGGCAUAAGGUGAGGGCUCACCUGGGCACGGAGGCAGCCAGCAGCAGUAGGAAGAAGAGGAGAGCACAGAGCGCGGGCCGCGGCUGGGGCCGAGGUCGGAGCCGCAGCCAGGGGCAAGGGUGCCUCCUGGACACCAAGCCACCCUCUGCCUCAGUGAAAUGAGGUUAAUGAGACCCACCUCAUCUCAUCAAUGAGCCAGUGAAGCCUGAUUCUCCCUCUCCAUAUCACUCUGGGGUGCCGAUGUGAUCUUCGAGGGCUGGACCAGAGGGAAUGACAGUGAUGCUGGGUACCUUCCAAGGCUGGACCCUAAGAAGACACUUGCAGUCUCUGCCUUCAACUUUGGCACAGUAUAAUUUGAAAUCCAGCUUUAUGCUGAAGCCACCAUGCUGUAAGGAAGCCCAAGCUAGUCAAAUGGAGAGAAGGAGGCUACUGGAGAAACUCUGGGACACUGGACAUACAUGAGUGAAGCCUUUUGGACUGUCCAUCCCAGCAGAACCACCAGCAGAAUCAGUCACGUGGAUGACCACAACCAAUAGCUUGUCACAAAGAGCAGAACCACCCAGCUGAGUCCUGACAAAUUCCUGACCUAAAGGAUCAUGAGGAAUAAUUACUUUGGCAUUGUUUGUUAUGCAGCAAUGGAUAACUGAAACAAUGAUAUUCCCAUUGCAUAGGUAAAGGCACUGGGACUAAGAUGGCCUAUAUUGUAAACUUCUAAGCAACAGCACUGGUUUCCAACCCAGAGUGCCUGAAUCUAAUGUUCAUGCUUUGCUCUGCAUACCUUGAUAGGAGAGUCAUUCUCCACUGCGGUUUUUGGACUGUGGGGACAUUGGGGGCUCCAAAUCCCAGCCAUUUGGCC